Non-coding RNA from Xyrichtys novacula (pearly razorfish), 5612 nucleotides. NCBI's taxonomy places the organism in Eukaryota, Metazoa, Chordata, Actinopteri, Labriformes, Labridae. The record is from the annotation of a GenBank genome assembly.
GUCGUUUAAUCUGCAGGAACUUCAGAGGCAGAGAGAAACCACAAGCACCGCAGAGCUGUCAAGAAAAGCUGGAACUCAUGUCCAACAUUUAACCAUCAGAGCUCUGCAGGGAGACUGAAUGGGGUGAUAGAGGACAGGAAGCUGAGGUGCUGAAUGGUAAGUCAUAGCUCUUUGUUUUCUGCCGACCCAGGUGGUUAACAGACAUACUGUACUUUGAAGGAGAACGAGGCUCUUUCUGCUACGUUUUACUAUUUGUUUAGUCAUCUGGGACGUGUUCUGGUGGAGUGGGGGGAGAGUGAGACUCAACAGAAAGUAGAGUGUCAGAUCUGCAUGAGAGAAAGUUUUUAACCCUAGAACACAAUCGCCGGGUGAUUUUCACCCGACCAAACAUGCUUAUGUGAUUUUCAUGGUGUUAAGUUUGUCUUAGUAUCAUGGGUCCCUGGGUAGCUUCAGCAUUUCCUUUGACAUCUUUGAAGGCAUACUUGUUUUACUGAUCCAAAACCGGCUUUUUCCUACAGGGUGAUAGAGGGUAAAGUAGGUUUGGGUGGAUUUUAUAGCUGCAUGUAGGUGAAUAAGGUCAGUAAGAGCGGUCCUGGAAUUUGCAUGCUAUCUUUAUUUAGCGCAGUGGUUAUGAAUAACUUUCACAAAGUAGUGAUUUUCAAGGGAAUUCAUAUGGUGAUGAGAAAUAUUUUAGUCAGCUGGUCAUUUUUACUCAAAAUCUGCCAUAUUUUGGUUCUCUCUCCUGCAGCUGUUGUUGUGUCAAGGACCCUGAGGAAUGGGUGGAAAAGAAACUAAGUUUACAGUUUCUCUCUCUCUCUCUCUCUCUAUAUAUAUAUAUAUAUAUAUAUAAUUAUAUAGGAAUAUAGGUAGUAUAUAUAUCCUAUAUAUAUAUAAGUAUAUAGGAAUUUUUUGUUCAUGAAUGCAUAAUUUCAGUUAUUUUGUUGUAUUUUUAUAUGGUCCCCUCAUGGCCCUUUUUUCCUCCCUUUGGACACUGCACAGUUACAAAUAAAAGAAAACUACUUUAAUCUGUCAUGUAUUUUCCGAUUUUGAUAUAUUAUGAGGACAGGUACUUUUUCUUGGGUGUAUUAUUACAGGUAAAAAUCACCCAGCGAUAGUGAUGACGUUACUAAUUUUCACGAUAGUGUUCACGGGUUAAUGAAUCCUCUAACAGAAGUAUAAAAGGUUUGGUCUAUUUGUCAUUACUCCCUCCUUAUUUCCUGCGUCUCUUUUCUGCCCUCUGGGCUGUGGAGGGAAAGUCCACAGUGGAACCAGACUCUGGGGUCAGAUUCAGCCUCUCCUCUGCCUCAGGCCGAAAAACACGACCUGUGACACCAGAGCUCCUCUUCUGAACUCAGCUCAUUGUGGUGUUAGCUAAUUAGCUAUCACCUGCUGGGUUUACCAUAAACACUUGAAUCUCCUUAGCGAUAGCCUCAGCUGUCCCGGGAAUCGUUUUGCAAAAUGGUGACUCUUGAAGAUUUUGAGGAACAGUAAACAAGAGUGCAACAUACUAAGGAUAGAGCGUAGGGCUGGGCGAUAUGGGAAAAAGUUUAUCACAAUUUUUUUUUUCAAUUUCAGUUGAUAUCGAUGUAUAUCGCCAUAUAAAAAACACUUUUUCAAACUUAAAUGUUCCCUGUUACUCUUAAAUGAAAUUUAACAGUGCUUAUUGGUAGCAUGUCAUCUGUUGAGUAUGGUGGCCAAAAAUCGUCACUGCUGCAAAUAAAAAGAAACAAACAAACAAAAAAAAAAACGAAGCCACAACGGAAGUUACCAAUGCAAAAAAAGAAACCGAAGCUCGCUGCAAAUAAAAGAAAAAAACUGUGCAGAUUUUAAAAAAGCCACAACAGAAGUUAAUGACACAAAAAAAGUGGCGAUGCAAAUAAAUAAAUAAAUUACUGUGAAAAUAUGAGGGUGCAAAUAAAAAAAGCCACAAUGGAAGUGUGGGCCGGGGACUAAAUAUUAAAAAAGUGAGAGUCUGCGUACUUAUUUGUAUGGGUAAAGAAACCGAACCGUAAAGCGAUAUUAAACGAUAACCUUUCCACUCCUUUGCUCAUCUUCUUGCUGUUGUUUUCUGUGGCUAGAUCCUAAAACAUCGGUGCAUCACCAUUAUUGGUCCCCGGCAGUUCACUUCGGUUGUGGCUUUUGAGUCCUUUAAUUUUCGCAGUUAGUCCCUUUUUUUUUUUUUUUUUUCAUCGCCACUUUUUUUGUGUCAUCAACUUCUGUUGUGGCUUCUUUUUUUUUUUUGGCAUUCUUUUUUUUUUUGCAGCAGUGGCGGUUCUUGGCCACCAUUGUUGAGCCGUCAUCUGCAUUUCUGUCGGGGGUACCACUCAUUUUCUUUUUUUCUUACCAACAGUGCUGUCGGCUUCACGUGUUAAAGUUCUAUGGUUGCAUGUAGCUGCUGUCUGCUAUUACGCAGUUGUUUGUUACUUGGUUCUAAUCCAGCACAUGAUUGGUUCAGCCUGGCAUGGACUCAGAGCAACUCCCCUUUUCAUUGGCUAGUCGUAUAGUCUACCAAAACAUGAAAGAAUGCCAGCUAUAGACCAUGUUUCAUAUCAAUAUCGGGGGAAAUUAUUUUUGAUAUAUAUAUAUAUAUCGUUUUAUCGCCCAGCCCUAAAAGAGCAUAUAACUCAGUGGGUUCAGAAAUCCCCAAAACAGAACAUUUAGUCCGAUUAAGACCACCCAUGCUGCAAAAUAGGGUCCUCAAAGUCAUUUAUAAUAAAUACAGCAGACACUGUCUUCAGCCGUGCCUUCUUACAAAAUAAAAUAAUGUUCCCAUUGUACGAGCGCUGCGGGUUAAACUUAAAUCUGGUUUGUCAGAACUACAAACUGCAUGCCUUAAACCCAUCAAAAAUCCUCUUUUGCGACCACAUGUGUAACCAUGAUAUGCAUGUUUGCAAACACGCAUGCAUCCACAUGCAAAUGCAGCUCUGCGAAUGUAUACCAGAUAAAGAACAAGAGAGGCUAAGAGGAAGAGCGCUACGCACCGCAAACUGACUCCUCUCCCUAAAACUGCAUUUAUAGUGUCAUUGUUUGACAAAUUGUUCCACCUAUAGUAAACACAGCUCUCAGCAGUUAGGCUCCAAAGUGGGCCUUCACACACCACGCAGCAUCUUACACCCAUGUUGAACUCUUUUAAAAUCGGUUUCUGUGAUUGUCUCUCCCUGUAACAUGGUCUCAAUUCUUUUCUUUUUUCCCAGAACACACAUGACAAUAAACACAGACUUACAGUAAAGACUGCAGUCUGAGUUCAUAUCAUUUUACCCUCAUAAUAAUGAGGCGCAUUUCCCGCACCACACACACCAUCUGUGAAUCUCUGAUGAGUGUCUUCUGUGGGAGGAUCCGAUGCUUUAAACUGACAGCAUGGGCAUCAUUAUGUCAUGUAAACAGGCCUGGCAUCAAAGGGCCCAACAUCACGCACCCUUGUGGUUGAGCCAGGAUGAGACUAAGACUGUGACCGAGCUCUUUUUCUGCUCUUGUUCUGUGUUGGCUACACUCAAAUAUUUUCCAUUGUGUCUUAAAGCAAAGCCAGCGAUGUCAGAGCUCAUCCUCCGACUGCUGAUCACUAUUCUUCUUAAGUGGGUUCCAGCAUUUCAGAGCCACACUGACGAGAGUCAUUCAUAUUUAUUCAUUCAUUUAAUUAUCCUGUAUUUCUGCUGUGUCUCUCUCUGUAUCCCUCACGACUUCAAAGACACUCAGACAACAGAGGAGGCAGAUGUGCCGGCACGGCUAUCAUCAUAGUUCAGCUAAAACAAAUGAAUAAGUGGCGUGACUAAAUUUAUUUGAUCAGAGACAAAAGUUUUUUUUUUAUUCUUUCAAAGAGUAAAUAGAUGUCCUUUCUCAUUUGUUUGGAUUUUAUGACAAAAUAAAAGUCUUAUAUUUCUCACCUCCUAUCAGUUUGGACUCUUUACGACAUAUUUGUGUGACGAGCCAGACUUUAGCUCAUUAAUCCUAAUUAGAAACAGAGUUUGGUGACAGAGCAAGUUUUCUCAGGAUAAUGGGGUCAGUUUUCCUGGUGAUUUAUUGACUUGUACCGCGCCUUAGAUUGUUAACAGGGCAGAACUAACAGGCUGGAUGUUGUUGCCGUAUUUCAUCUUUACUGCGUUGUUGUUCACUUAGCUUGAAAUGGCCAAUUUCUCUGUACAAAUCAGGAGGUGAAUUAUUUGAUGUUAAAAUUUGAAGAUUAAACGUCAGCUUUUAAGGCAACAAAGAGUGGAAAGAGGUGUAUUUGACACAAACAGGAGGAAUCACCUGCUGCAGUGUGUGAUAGAUAUUUCUAUGAUAAUAUAAAGGGCUGAUGAUCAUGAAAGAGUGGAUAUCUGAUCCCUUUGUUUCCUGAGCACUAAUUUUUAUUAGAAUUUUGUAGGGCUGCAUAAUGUUGGCCAAAAAUAAAAUCCAGAUUUUUUUCUCUGAAAACUCGAUUUUCAAUUUUUUAUUCAGUGACAACUUCACCAAACUUCACUUUAAAAAUAAUGUUUUUUUGUUUUUUUAAUCAUCUCUCAAAACGAAACCACUGAAAAUGAUGUAGUGCAUAUGCCAAGCCAGUAAGUGGUGCUGUAACACUGCUGAGGAAAUGCACAAAAGACAGAAGAAGAGUACAGAGCAUGUGUUAAACGUUGUUUUGGUCAGACACGUGCAGGCGCCAUAAAAGAGUUAUGCUGUGUGUCACAUGAUCAUUUCCAGAGAUGCAGAUAGACAUCCACACGGAGAUGAAAUGUUAGUCGUUUACGGAUUUAUACACUCUCUGACCCGUUUUCAAAAAGUACCGUAUACAGUCACCUGAAACGCCGUUUCUGAAACGCGGAUACAACAAAAAUCUUUUGCGUUUCCUCCUGAAUUUGUUUCCGUGUGGACAGGUUGAUACUACCUUCAGACAGACUUUGCAGCGGGGAGUGGUUUCCUCUUCAUCUGAAACUGUGAAGUCGUACAAAUUCAACACAAUUGACUCGCUCUUGUCCUAUUUAACCACGAAAUUAUCGAUUUCUUUUGCAAACGCCAUGUUUGUUUACACUGGUGUGUGUGGGAACCGGGGAGCGUUCUCGCAGGAUGGGGGAGCCUACGGUGGCCUGGAGGCGCGAGACAUGAUAGAGAGGAAAAUUGUGAUUGAUUAUAAUUUUUUUUAACAUCGUCAUCAUCAAAUAAUCCGAUUACGAUUUGAAAUUGAUUGAUCGGGCAGCCCUAGAAUUCUGUCUGAGUUUUUGUCAAAUGAUGACACCAAGAAAUGACCACUGAAGGUAUUCUCGCCAUUCUCAUCCACAUACUUGUCUGAGGUCGGCUUUUCACUCAAACUGUCUGGAUGUGAGAAGAUGCUGCGCCCAUCUCUCACACACAACCCCACACUUUGUCUCAAAAAACAGACUCUGGGCUCACGCUGAUGACUGUGUUUGUAUAGUGCGUUUCCAGGUCUGGGCACAGCCACCUGGAAAAAUUGGGGUCAAGUGUCUCGCUGGGAUCAACCCCUGAGUUUUCUGACCUAACACUGAGCUCCAGCCGCCCCUGCAGUGAUAACAGUUUUUUAAAAUCAGCAUCACGACUCCACCAACGUUGCCGGUGGUCACUGUGUCUCUCCAUCUUUUAACCUGGUGCCGUUGUGGUGACUGAAAGCUGGCCUUAGUCAU